GGCACGCGGGAUUCCCCCCGGACAGGGGCACGAAUCCGCGCCCCUUGCAUCGGCAGGCGGACCCCCAACCACUGCGCCACCAGGGAAGCCCUCUAGUACUUUUAUGUAACAUCUCACCUGCGUAUUCCAAUGCUUGGGAUAGCAUUUGGCUGAAAGAAUUCAUCAUUUCUACUUGCCUUAGCGGUUUACCUUUCUUUGCAGAGUCCUUCCGCGGUGCACGCACGAGGACACUUAAGUCUUAUGCAUGUAGGUAGUAACCGUCCACACCGAGGUGAUUCCCAGACCGUGGGCUUCCUGUUCCUUACUUUACUAUCCCGUCCUGCCCUUCCUUCCAGGGGCUGCUGCCUCUGCCGAACCAGAUGGAGGACGUCAGUUUCUCAGGGGGCCCAGGUGGGAACGCAAAGACUGUGCUCUCAGAAGGUCUGGGCGGAGCUUGGCGCUUAGAGUCCUUGUUAUUCUAAUCAAGGAGCCCCAGCUCAUUCUAAUCAACUUCCAUUAGGAGAGGGCCACAGCUUCUGGAAGGGCUGGGUUUUCUGGUUGUCAACCCUUGGGCCUGGGCGUACUCUCAAAAGGUGCCAUAAGUAGCAUGGUCCUACCCCGGGGGGCCAGUCGGCUUUUCUUUUUUGUCAUCCAGGAGGACCAAUGAGUUAGGGUGCGUCUUUGGGGCAGUUUGGCUGUUCAGGAUGGCCAGAGGCUAAGUGGAAACCUAGGCACCUCAGGAAUCCUGUUGAUGUGUGGAGUAAAUGCUGGGGAGAAAUGGGGUGCUCUAGGGAGGGGUGUUGCUUUUACUUUUCUCAGUAACCCAAUGGGGAACUAUUAUUAUUUCAACUUUACAGAAGAAGAAAGGGGAGAACAGAAAACUUCAGCAACUUGCCCAGUGGUGGAGUCCAGAAUUAAACCACGCAGGGUCUGGCUUCCAAGCUCAGUACCUGAACUUAGUUUCAUUUUCUUUUGACAUAAUGGAGCUUUUAUUCAAGCCUCACCCCUCAUUAAUUUUUAAAAAAUUUUUAUUGGAGUAUAGUUGAUUUAAAACUCAUUAAUUCAAGCAAAUUCAUUCACUCAUUUAACAGCUGUUUCAUCUCCCCCUUUCCCGAACCCCUCCAACUGUAGUUCCAUGGGGACAGAGACAACCACAUCAAUUUCAUUGUGUUCAGGAAUGUUUGCUCUUAGGAAAGUUUGAUGAAUGAAUAAAGAGCAAACAGAAUAAGUGCUUCAGAGUUUUUUUGCGUUUAUCAUAUAAAUUAAAAGAAGGAGACAUAACAGAUUUAUAAUUACCUUUUCUGGGCCAGGCACCUAAGAUAUUUUAUCCCUAUUUAUUCCUGAAGCAUGAGAUAGGGAUGGAGUGUAAGUUUCACUUGUUUCCUCUCUUUUUUUUUUUUGAUGAGGAAACAGGUUAAGACACACUGAUCGCUUGUGGUGGAGCUGGGAUUUAGACUCAGCAUUGUUUGCCUGAAUCCCAACCCUACACUUUUCCCAUAUAACCACACUGACUGCUGGAGCAUCGAUCAUGACAUCAUAGGGAUCAAGGGGAAGGUAGAAUGUUUUUUCUAAGUGACAAACUGGCAAGUGAAAGUUUGAUUGUAGGUGUGUUAUUCUUUGGCCAGACAACAAGCGCAUGCACGAGAGGAGAGAGCCAGUAUGUGAGUAAUAGCAAAGUGCAGAGGCUGGGAGAAAGUUCCCCAUGUCCAGGGGACUGUUCUUUGGCUUAGGUCCUGGCUUAGGAAAUCCCGAAGGCUCCACAUUAAAACACAGGCAUUCCCACCUGUAAAACUAGAUGAUUACUUACCAUCACAGGCUUGCCUGAGAUGAAAUUGCAGGGUUUUUUUUUUUUUAUAACUAAGAAGGUGUUGUGUAAGCACCAGAAACAGAACAAUGUUGGAUUUGGGGGGGGAGAAAGUUUGCUGUAGAAUAUGUAUUUCUUAAGGCCUGUGGUGUGUGUCCUGGUUUAUCUUCCUAGAAGAGUCUCUUCUGGGCUCUAAUCAUUUAUCAGAGGGCAUGUGGUUUGGUUUUAGGUAAAAGCCAACCUCUGUUUCCAACAUGUAACUGAUACACUCUCCUAGUUUUCCCAGCCCUUAAUUUGUUAACACUUAUGUUUUCUUUUCUCUCGUUCGGUUGCCAUUUUCCUUUAUAUCUCCCCUGUUGUCCCUCUCAGUGUCACGAGUUUUUGUAUUAACCAUGCCCCUUGCCUUUGCCUUGACUUCUGCUCCGCCUGCCAGGGUUUUUAUGGAUGAUAGUUAAGCAAUCCUGGUGGCUACCUUGGAGAAAACCAGGGUCUUGUUAUGCCUGUAGGUGGCAUGUGCAGACUGCAGUCUGGGGGGGGGGGGUCGAGGGGCAAGGCUUAAUUUCUUGGAAGAUUUCAGGGGAUUGCAAGAAACAGUAUUGAAACAAUGAAGUACUGAGGUCUUAAAAACAUCUUGGCAUUCAACAAGGAGUGAGGGAGGUUAUGUUCUGCUACCCACAAAAUGACCUCCAGAAUGACCAGCUGUGGGGGACACUGGGAAAUGUCCAGUACUGCAUGUUCAUCUCAUAAACUUAGAGACGCGAAGCCAAGAUCUCAAAGCAUUUCAAGACCAUUUCAAGCAUUUCCUCCGCUGAAGCAGAGGAGAGAAGCUCCACCAGGAUUUAUCCCGGUGCUUAUGCUGUUGGUAGGUGGCCAAGUCGUUAAUAUGCAAAGUGGUCAGAUCUGUCAGAUGGAUGCAGGUGAAGAGAGAACACUCACAUGUGCCAGACCCAAUUAAAUGUGAAAGCCAGGAGGAACUGAUAAGCAGGGGUGAAGGAAGGGAACCUAGAGCCACGCCUCUCAAACUGCUAGAGUGUUGGCAUCGCUUUCAGAGAAGCAUUCAUAAGAUCUGUGGUCUCAAGAAUAAUUUUUACAACUUUCCUCCAAAAGUUCCUUAUUAGAGAAUCAUCACUGAAUGCCACCAGCAUCACUUCUUUUUUAUUUAUUUAUUUAUUUAUUCAUUUUUGGCUGCGUUGGG
This is an RNA transcript of Aethalodelphis obliquidens (Pacific white-sided dolphin), 2978 nucleotides long. RefSeq lists it as uncharacterized. The transcript has 3 exons. NCBI's taxonomy places the organism in Eukaryota, Metazoa, Chordata, Mammalia, Artiodactyla, Delphinidae. The record is from RefSeq and is a predicted model, not a curated record.